Molecule: long non-coding RNA, 853 nt
Organism: Brassica napus (rape)
Lineage: Eukaryota; Viridiplantae; Streptophyta; Magnoliopsida; Brassicales; Brassicaceae
Exons: 2
Source: RefSeq, a predicted model, not a curated record
AUAAAAUUUUCCUUAUUAAUUAAUAUAAACAGUAAUAAAUAUUUAAUCAAUAGAAAUUAGGGUGUAUAUACAGACAGCAAAAUGAGCUAAGUACCCAAAUCCUUUUCAAGGCACUGUUAUAUUUUAAAUAAUACGAAACAACCCCUACAUACCUACACAGUUAUGGUAUCUUGUAAUAUCAGAUUUUAUGUCAGAACCAAGCAGAUAGCAACCCUUUACACACAAGAUAAUUACCAAUGUUAUGUCUUGUUUAAAACUUCUCGAGAAAACCAGAGGUCGUCAUUUACAAAGCUUUAAAACUCAUUUUUCUUCAACAAAAAUCAUUCUCUUUUCACAUUUUUUGAAGAAAAAUCACUCUUUUCACAUUCCUUAAAUAAAAAUCUCUCUUCAUUCAUCCGAAAAGCGUCCCAUUCUCGUAUUCGUAUAGAUCCAAAAAGUGUGAGUUGCCAAUAUGGGUGAUUUGCUUAUCACAGAGCGCAUGUUUGUAGCUGGUGAAGAACCUGCUGGAGAAACAGUUAAUGUACAUAUCACAAGCCCAAGAGGACUGAAUCCAUAAUCGACGCUAUAGAUCCAGAUGAGGUAGAGUUUCUACGAAGCACAACGUUUGGGAAGAUCAUAUCCAUGACCGAAAACCCUUCCUUCUCUGUCAGUUUUGGCCAAUACAUCAUCUAGGCUGAGGUGAAGUUCAUCUUAUAUGACCAAGCAAGUUUAAUGGCCUCAGAAACAGACUUUGGGUGGAAUGACGAGAGGAUGAACUUGUGGGUAACAUAGUUGUUAAUCUAUAUACUUUUUCAAAGUCGAUUACAAACAAAUAUGUGCAACUAUUGUCUAUAUUUGUUGCUAAUAGUUUCUU